Schizophyllum commune H4-8 is the source of this 82-nucleotide non-coding RNA. NCBI's taxonomy places the organism in Eukaryota, Fungi, Basidiomycota, Agaricomycetes, Agaricales, Schizophyllaceae. The record is from Rfam.
GUCGGUAUCGAUUAGGGGUGAAAUCAUCUCGUUGUGGUCGAUUUCAGCCGAGAAGCCGCAGGUUCGAAUCCUGCUACCGACA